Molecule: ribosomal RNA, 755 nt
Filed under: Salmonella enterica
Lineage: Bacteria; Pseudomonadati; Pseudomonadota; Gammaproteobacteria; Enterobacterales; Enterobacteriaceae
Also listed under: 1 other name
Description: partial 23S ribosomal RNA
Rfam family: Bacterial large subunit ribosomal RNA
Source: RNAcentral
CAAGACAACUUUACGGAGUUGACGAUUGACGGAGCGAAGCGACGUCAAAGCGUUCAUUAAAGUCGAGUUGGCUUAGGGAUACGUUCGUUGGGUAGGGGAGCGUUCUGUAAGCCUGUGAAGGUGUGUCGUGAGGCAUGCUGGAGGUAUCAGAAGUGCGAAUGCUGACAUAAGUAACGAUAAAGCGGGUGAAAAGCCCGCUCGCCGGAAGACCAAGGGUUCCUGUCCAACGUUAAUCGGGGCAGGGUGAGUCGACCCCUAAGGCGAGGCCGAAAGGCGUAGUCGAUGGGAAACGGGUUAAUAUUCCCGUACUUGGUGUUACUGCGAAGGGGGGACGGAGAAGGCUAUGUUGGCCGGGCGACGGUUGUCCCGGUUUAAGCGUGUAGGUGUGUGUUCCAGGUAAAUCCGGUUCACUUUAACACUGAGGCGUGACGACGAGGCACUACGGUGCUGAAGCAACAAAUGCCCUGCUUCCAGGAAAAGCCUCUAAGCAUCAGGUAACACGAAAUCGUACCCCAAACCGACACAGGUGGUCAGGUAGAGAAUACCAAGGCGCUUGAGAGAACUCGGGUGAAGGAACUAGGCAAAAUGGUGCCGUAACUUCGGGAGAAGGCACGCUGACACGUAGGUGAAGUGAUUUACUCAUGGAGCUGAAGUCAGUCGAAGAUACCAGCUGGCUGCAACUGUUUAUUAAAAACACAGCACUGUGCAAACACGAAAGUGGACGUAUACGGUGUGACGCCUGCCCGGUGCCGGAA